This 1223-nucleotide ribosomal RNA is filed under the name Escherichia coli. RNAcentral's name for it is "partial 23S ribosomal RNA". It matches the Rfam family "Bacterial large subunit ribosomal RNA", at positions 612 to 1820 of the family's 2925-position model. The record is from RNAcentral. Lineage: Bacteria; Pseudomonadati; Pseudomonadota; Gammaproteobacteria; Enterobacterales; Enterobacteriaceae.
AUAAUGGGUCAGCGACUUAUAUUCUGUAGCAAGGUUAACCGAAUAGGGGAGCCGAAGGGAAACCGAGUCUUAACUGGGCGUUAAGUUGCAGGGUAUAGACCCGAAACCCGGUGAUCUAGCCAUGGGCAGGUUGAAGGUUGGGUAACACUAACUGGAGGACCGAACCGACUAAUGUUGAAAAAUUAGCGGAUGACUUGUGGCUGGGGGUGAAAGGCCAAUCAAACCGGGAGAUAGCUGGUUCUCCCCGAAAGCUAUUUAGGUAGCGCCUCGUGAAUUCAUCUCCGGGGGUAGAGCACUGUUUCGGCAAGGGGGUCAUCCCGACUUACCAACCCGAUGCAAACUGCGAAUACCGGAGAAUGUUAUCACGGGAGACACACGGCGGGUGCUAACGUCCGUCGUGAAGAGGGAAACAACCCAGACCGCCAGCUAAGGUCCCAAAGUCAUGGUUAAGUGGGAAACGAUGUGGGAAGGCCCAGACAGCCAGGAUGUUGGCUUAGAAGCAGCCAUCAUUUAAAGAAAGCGUAAUAGCUCACUGGUCGAGUCGGCCUGCGCGGAAGAUGUAACGGGGCUAAACCAUGCACCGAAGCUGCGGCAGCGACGCUUAUGCGUUGUUGGGUAGGGGAGCGUUCUGUAAGCCUGUGAAGGUGUGCUGUGAGGCAUGCUGGAGGUAUCAGAAGUGCGAAUGCUGACAUAAGUAACGAUAAAGCGGGUGAAAAGCCCGCUCGCCGGAAGACCAAGGGUUCCUGUCCAACGUUAAUCGGGGCAGGGUGAGUCGACCCCUAAGGCGAGGCCGAAAGGCGUAGUCGAUGGGAAACAGGUUAAUAUUCCUGUACUUGGUGUUACUGCGAAGGGGGGACGGAGAAGGCUAUGUUGGCCGGGCGACGGUUGUCCCGGUUUAAGCGUGUAGGCUGGUUUUCCAGGCAAAUCCGGAAAAUCAAGGCUGAGGCGUGAUGACGAGGCACUACGGUGCUGAAGCAACAAAUGCCCUGCUUCCAGGAAAAGCCUCUAAGCAUCAGGUAACAUCAAAUCGUACCCCAAACCGACACAGGUGGUCAGGUAGAGAAUACCAAGGCGCUUGAGAGAACUCGGGUGAAGGAACUAGGCAAAAUGGUGCCGUAACUUCGGGAGAAGGCACGCUGAUAUGUAGGUGAAGUCCCUCGCGGAUGGAGCUGAAAUCAGUCGAAGAUACCAGCUGGCUGCAACUGUUUAUUAAAAACACAGCA